Molecule: small RNA, 1989 nt
Filed under: Pongo abelii (Sumatran orangutan)
Lineage: Eukaryota; Metazoa; Chordata; Mammalia; Primates; Hominidae
Description: sense overlapping
Source: RNAcentral
CAGGUACCUGGGUUCCUGUGCUAAUAUUGCACCCUGAAUUUUGAGAAAUAUUUAUAAGCACCUAACUUAAAGAGGAAAAUACCUUUGUCCAAGUGAUCAACCGUUCAAUUUAUAUCCCUCUACCUAUCAAUGAUAUAUUAAUCUGUUUGUUAAAAAAAGGCAGAAAAAGACAAAAAAUGGAAAAGUAAAAUGGGCAAGAGAUUUCUUUUUCCUUUGCACUUUCUGGUAUUUCCCAGUUUUUCUAAAACUAGCAUAUACUAUUUUAAAAUUAUAGGUCAAUAAUAAUACAUGAAUAUGCUUUCCUUGUAAGAAAUUAAGACAUUCCAGAUAAAGCUAAAAAGUCCCUGUUGACCUCUAAUCCUGGAUUCCUCCCUAAUACCUAGAGAAAAUGACUGUUAAUUAUUGGUAUGCUUUUUUUUCUAUAUCUUUUUCAAUGCAGAGUUAUUUGUGGUUUAUAUCUAUGGCAUCAUGUGUGUCUUGUCCUAAAACUUUUUUAAGCUCAAUAUUGUAUCUUUCACUAUUUUUUAUCUUGGUAUGUGCAAAGCUACUUCAUCAGCUUAUUCUUUUUACCUGCUUCAGAGUUUUCCAUGAGAAUGGAUAUUCCACAGUUUAUACAGCUUUUCCUCUACGAUGGCCAUUAGGCAUCUUUCUUUUUUUUUUUUUUUUUUGGCAAUUAGUAGUCUUCUUUCAUUGAGAACAAUCGGUAUGUCAUUUAAAAAUUUAAUUCUAGCUUCCUAAACUAAAAAAAGCUCCAGAAAGCUCAUGCCUCAUUCUAAUCUCAGAAAGCACUGUCUAGGCUUGGAGAUCUCCCCAGCUAUCUAAGCAGAAAGAGGAAUGUGGACUUCGGUGAGCCUAAUCCGUACUCUGUGUUCCCCAUCCUUCCCCGACCCCUAGCCCCCAAGGACUGGGAUCAAUACUGGAAACCUGUGCUUUAGUUCUUCCACCUCUGCUGCUGCUAUGCUGUGUGACCUCAGUGAUACAUGUGAGUGACCACCCAGAUGGUGCCUGAGGAAGUGGUCCUUUCCUUGUGGCCCCCAUCAAUAGUCUGCCUCUGGAUUCUGAACAGGGGAAGCUAAAUUGAUGGUCUCUGAGUCACAGUUCCUCAUGAAAAGAGGUGCUUAACAGGAGACACUUGGGGACUGAGGCUUCAGGGACCUCCCCCCACCCAACCACCUCUACUGUUCUGGUGUCCCCGAGGCCUUCAGAAGUUGUUCCUAUUUAUCCCUAUAACUUCUGAAGGCUACGUUGCUAUAGCAACCUGGGUCUGCUGAUCUGUGUUAAAAACUUAUCAAUUAGCUGUCUGGAGAGUCCAUUUAAGGGGUAACAGAGAAGCAAUUACUCCUUAUAGAGGAAGCGCAAACAGUCCCCAUUUCAGAGCCUCUCAGGGAGAGUCUGAGAACGGCAGGUCCAAGUCACUCAUUUUAGGGACAGGGGCACUAAGGGAUGAAAUGAACUGGUUCAUCCCAAGUCACAAAGACAAUUAGAGGCAAGGCAUCCUUUCUGGCUCUGAUUCGGAAGCUCCAUUAUCUCUCUACCUUUGUUCCAGGCUUCUCCUUUCCCCUCCUGUCUAUUCUCCAAGCACCUAUUGCCUCCAAGAUGGGCUCUAGACUGUAAGAGCCUUGUCCUUCACUCUCUCAAUAGCCCCCAGGCCUUUGAAAACAGCCAGGCAGACCCCCUCACCUGCUGCUUACAUGACAUCCUGCGGUGGCCCAUGAAGCCCCAGUGACCUGCUGCCUGGCUGCCUCCCUCCACGGCUCUAACCUCUGUCCCCUUGGCACCAGCUCACUAUAAGGUCCUCCCUAUUCCUUAAGACCAAGCUCCAUCCUCUUCAAAAACAGCACAUCUCUCUCUGACACAGUCACUCUCCCUUUAUCCUGUAAUCCUGUGUAUUCCUUUACAGCUUCCCUCCCCAUCUGCAACCACACUCUGAUUGUUAUGACUUUGCUUGUUCCCCUCUCUGGAAUAAAAAUGGUAAAACUCUGUCUCUUA